CCCUGACUACUUGCAGGAAGAUCCACAGGAAAGGUCUCUAGACGGGGAAAGCGGAGGAGAUGCCCUCGACGGCGGAGGAGAUGCCCUCGACAGAGGUGAUCGUCGAUCAAUUGGAUCACACUCCUACACAAGCAACAACAUUACAAAUUAUUAACUUAAUCCGUAAUUGUUAACUCAUACAAAACGAUAAUCAAUAGAUUUUAUUCAAUUCGCUCACCCAAUCUCGAUCGUGAAUCGGAUCUGACAUCUGGUCGUUUUAGGUGUGCGAAACACCUAAUUCACGCACAAGACGCUGAGCCUCCUCCUCCAUCGACGGCGUCAACUUAGUUAUGACUUCAAACUGACAUAUUAACAUUUGAAAUAGUUAACGAUCAUGCAAUCAGAUGUUAAAUCACGCACAAUAUAAAUUACAAAUGCAUAAUACUCACCUGAGGAUCAUCGAGGAUAGCCGAUAACUGUUUUCGAGUGGGACAUCUUUCCGAUCGAAAUGCUCUCCAAUGAUGCAUCCGAGGACAGUAUGUCUCCCCUCACCUCGCAAAGCGGGCACCCAAUAUGGGGACGGUCUCAUACGCCCAGAUCUGCAACACAUACAAUUAUUAUAUAUAAAUUCAAUAUGAAAAUAAUGUUAACAUUCAUUAUAUUAACCAUUUACCUGCACCUCCAUGGGCAAUCC
RNAcentral lists this long non-coding RNA (673 nucleotides) under Olea europaea (common olive). RNAcentral's name for it is "long non-coding RNA (OEUR_LNC012200)". The record is from RNAcentral. Lineage: Eukaryota; Viridiplantae; Streptophyta; Magnoliopsida; Lamiales; Oleaceae.